This is a long non-coding RNA of Bubalus bubalis (water buffalo), 855 nucleotides long. RefSeq lists it as uncharacterized. The record is from RefSeq and is a predicted model, not a curated record. NCBI's taxonomy places the organism in Eukaryota, Metazoa, Chordata, Mammalia, Artiodactyla, Bovidae. The transcript is spliced from 4 exons.
AAAUUGGAUUCACUGGCAGAAUUUUACUUUACUUUAUAGCCAAAUUGCAUAAACAAAGACAGAAUUCAACUCUUCCUACUCCUUUUAAUUGGACAAAAAUGAUAACAUAUAAAGGGACUGGUAGAGUUCCUGCAUAUUGCUGGCACUUAAUAAAUGUGAGUUUGUUCCUCUCCAUUCAAGCAAAUUUCCUUUGAGAUCUCUGGGUCCAGGGCCCCUUACAUGCAUAUGAUGCUCACUGGGCUUCCGCAGGACUUCUUUCUUUGAGUGCCUUCCCUGAAACAUACAAUGACUACAAGAAAGAGGAAUAAUCUGAAACUGCAUUGAUGAAUCCAGCCCAGUUCCAGUUUGAGUAAACCCUCUUAAAAGGUAAAGACUCCUACUCAAGACUCAUCUGGCCCCUCUCCUGUCUCAGCUGUCACCAGGCAGCCCCAGCCACACUGGCCUUCUAUCAAUCCCACGCCCCAUCCCAUCUCGGAUUUUCAAGCAUGUUAUGGAAUCUAAAAAGCCAAAUAAGUACCAAAAAGCAAGUUCGCAGAUACGGAGAAAGAUAGACUGAUAGUUGCCAAGGAGAAGAGUGGAAUGGAAUGAAACUAGUCCUGUGAUAGGACCUGGCCAAGUGGAAGCGCUGGAAAAACUAAGAGCCCUCGGCAGCAUGAGGGGAAGUCCCCUGGUGCAAAACGAGGAAGAUUCCACACCAUCUGGGAGAAGAGGAAGGAGAGGCAGAAGAGUGGGCCCCUGCAGCUGGGGAUUUGGCAGGAGAGACUGUUCUCCAAUGUUCUCACUCAGAAAGUAAAUGUAUUUGAAAUGCUGAAGACGCCACAUAUAUUCUGUUAAUAAUUUACCAACUGAAACCAU